UUGAAAGGGAAACGAUUGAAGUCAGUCAUGCUGGUGGGAAUCAACUUAGGGGAAACUCUGGGUGCACUUCUUCGCUUGGCAGGUCAACGUCGAUUUUGAAUGUCAUAAAAUAAUUGGGGAAGGUAGCUCCUUCGGGAGUGUUAUAGCCCUUGAUAGAUGUGAUGUUUGAGGUCGAGGAUUGCAACGGAUACCCUUUGGGGCUAGCUGCCUGAUCUCUAAUUGCUGUUGGGUUACGGAUAGCAUGCUGACCGUGAUCUAAUUACUGGUUAAAAGGUUAGAGCGUGCAUAAAUUCGUUAAGGAUGUUGACGUA
Molecule: ribosomal RNA, 311 nt
Filed under: uncultured Glomeromycotina
Lineage: Eukaryota; Fungi; Glomeromycota
Description: LSU rRNA
Source: RNAcentral